RNAcentral lists this ribosomal RNA (429 nucleotides) under Bacteroidota bacterium. RNAcentral's name for it is "Bacteroidetes bacterium partial 16S ribosomal RNA". It matches the Rfam family "Bacterial small subunit ribosomal RNA", at positions 355 to 776 of the family's 1533-position model. The record is from RNAcentral. Lineage: Bacteria; Pseudomonadati; Bacteroidota.
UAGGGAAUCUUCCGCAAUGGGCGAAAGCCUGACGGAGCAACGCCGCGUGAGUGAUGAAGGUCUUCGGAUCGUAAAACUCUGUUAUUAGGGAAGAACAAAUGUGUAAGUAACUAUGCACAUCUUGACGGUACCUAAUCAGAAAGCCACGGCUAACUACGUGCCAGCAGCCGCGGUAAUACGUAGGUGGCAAGCGUUAUCCGGAAUUAUUGGGCGUAAAGCGCGCGUAGGCGUUUUUUUAAGUCUGAUGUGAAAGCCCACGGCUCAACCGUGGAGGGUCAUUGGAAACUGGAAAACUUGAGUGCAGAAGAGGAAAGUGGAAUUCCAUGUGUAGCGGUGAAAUGCGCAGAGAUAUGGAGGAACACCAGUGGCGAAGGCGACUUUCUGGUCUGUAACUGACGCUGAUGUGCGAAAGCGUGGGGAUCAAACAGG